RNAcentral lists this ribosomal RNA (465 nucleotides) under uncultured bacterium. Its description in RNAcentral is "partial 16S ribosomal RNA". It matches the Rfam family "Bacterial small subunit ribosomal RNA", at positions 28 to 507 of the family's 1533-position model. The record is from RNAcentral.
GACGAACGCUGGCGGCGUGCUUAACACAUGCAAGUCGAACGGAAAGGCCCUGCUUGCAGGGUACUCGAGUGGCGAACGGGUGAGUAACACGUUGGUGAUCUGCCCUGCACUUCGGGAUAAGCCUGGGAAACUGGGUCUAAUACCGGAUAGGAGCCAUUUUUAGUGUGAUGGUUGGAAAGUUUUUUCGGUGUAGGAUGAGCUCGCGGCCUAUCAGCUUGUUGGUGGGGUAAUGGCCUACCAAGGCGGCGACGGGUAGCCGGCCUGAGAGGGUGGACGGCCACAUUGGGACUGAGAUACGGCCCAGACUCCUACGGGAGGCAGCAGUGGGGAAUAUUGCACAAUGGGCGCAAGCCUGAGGCAGCGACGCCGCGUGGGGGAUGACGGCCUUCGGGUUGUAAACUCCUUUCGCUAGGGACGAAGCUUUUUGUGACGGUACCUAGAUAAGAAGCACCGGCUAACUACGUG